CACGUAGGCGGCUUUGUAAGUCGGAUGUGAAAGCCCCGGGCUUAACCUGGGAAUUGCAUCCGAAACUGCAUCGCUAGAGUAAAGGAGAGGGAAGUGGAAUUUCCGGUGUAGCGGUGAAAUGCGUAGAUAUCGGAAGGAACACCAGUGGCGAAGGCGACUUCCUGGCCUAUUACUGACGCUGAGGUGCGAAAGCGUGGGGAGCAAACA
RNAcentral lists this ribosomal RNA (207 nucleotides) under uncultured bacterium. Its description in RNAcentral is "partial 16S ribosomal RNA". It matches the Rfam family "Bacterial small subunit ribosomal RNA", at positions 568 to 774 of the family's 1533-position model. The record is from RNAcentral.